Molecule: long non-coding RNA, 242 nt
Filed under: Lathyrus oleraceus (garden pea)
Lineage: Eukaryota; Viridiplantae; Streptophyta; Magnoliopsida; Fabales; Fabaceae
Description: Pisum sativum (pea) long non-coding RNA (PSAT_LNC032510)
Source: RNAcentral
UUUAUCCUUGAUAUGUUCAUCCUAACCGGUGACGGAUAUUCUCCUUUUGGUAUUCUACCUAGUAAAAAGGUAGUUGUAAUUCCUAUUUGUUCCCCAGAGAGUUAAUCCUCGAUAUGUUCAUCCUAACCGAUGAUGGGCUUCCUUCUCUUUGCGGUCUUCUGCCCAGUAACCAGUAGUUGUAAAUCCUACCUUUUCUCCCCUUUGCAGAGUUUAUCCUUGAUAUGUUCAUUUUAACCGGUGAC